GGCGCACGGGUGCGUAACGCGUAUGCAACCUACCUUUAACUGAGAGAUAGCCCAGGGAAACUUGGAUUAAUAUCUCAUAACAUUAUUUUUCCUCAUGGUUAGAUAAUUAAAGCUUCGGCGGUUAAAGAUGGGCAUGCGUCCUAUUAGUUAGUUGGUGAGGUAACGGCUCACCAAGGCAGCGAUAGGUAGGGGGCCUGAGAGGGUGACCCCCCACACUGGUACUGAGACACGGACCAG
RNAcentral lists this ribosomal RNA (237 nucleotides) under uncultured bacterium. RNAcentral describes it as "partial 16S ribosomal RNA". It matches the Rfam family "Bacterial small subunit ribosomal RNA", at positions 97 to 334 of the family's 1533-position model. The record is from RNAcentral.